Molecule: long non-coding RNA, 457 nt
Organism: Sander lucioperca (pikeperch)
Lineage: Eukaryota; Metazoa; Chordata; Actinopteri; Perciformes; Percidae
Exons: 2
Source: RefSeq, a predicted model, not a curated record
AACAGAGCCAACGAUUCAUCCCACAUAUUUGAUAAAAAGGUAUAAGAAUUUUGUCAGAGUUUGCAAUGUCAGUCAUAUUGGACAGGUAUCCAUUUUGAAAAUUGGACUGAUUUUAGAACAGAAGUUAAUACGUUUACGUAUAUUUACAUGUUAAAAACUAAUGUUUUUAUCUUUACAUAAACUUAAAUGCAUCUACAAUUUACAUGCACCCAAAAUGCCCAAAUUGUUGCAACAGGUUUAAAGUCUGCAGGCCCAUUCAGUUUGGGGUCAAAUAUUUGUGUCAUCAUUUUUAGGAAAUAAGGUUACUUUGAACACUUCAGAGGCACGGUGUCAUUCUCCUGUUGAACUGAUGCGUGUUUGUUAAUGUUCAUUACUAUGUUGUACAAUUCUAAUUUAGCAUUUGUUUUGAAUGAAAUGAAAGUGUGUUUGGAAGUAAAUGUUGACUGAUUUCAACAAC